AUGAAUUCGCCGCCGCCGCAACGCAGCCGCCACACGCUGGUCGACGACGCCAUCCGCGAGAUUUUGCUCCGCAUCCCGCCGGAUGAGCCGGCGAGCCUCGUCCGCGCCUCCGCCGUCUGCACCACCUGGCUCGAAAUCAUCUCAGACCCCGCCUUCUUCCGCGACUACCGCGCUUUCCACGGGGCGCCCCCGGUGUUGGGCUACCUCCACAACAAAUCCUACGAAAGCCAUGGCGUCGCCCGAUUCGACCCCACCGGAGCCUUCUGCCCGCUGGUUCGCGACCGCCGCAACUGGCACGCGGCCGACUCCCGCCAUGGCCCCGCGUCCUCUUCUACACACCCAGAGAGAAGCACGCGGAUUUCGUCGUCUGGGACCCCAUCACGGACCGCCGGUGGGGGCUUCUCACCGACCCCAAGCUGUCGGAGAUAA
RNAcentral lists this ribosomal RNA (429 nucleotides) under Triticum aestivum (bread wheat). RNAcentral describes it as "partial small subunit ribosomal RNA". Lineage: Eukaryota; Viridiplantae; Streptophyta; Magnoliopsida; Poales; Poaceae. The record is from RNAcentral.